RNAcentral lists this ribosomal RNA (476 nucleotides) under uncultured soil bacterium. RNAcentral describes it as "bacterial SSU rRNA". It matches the Rfam family "Bacterial small subunit ribosomal RNA", at positions 26 to 518 of the family's 1533-position model. The record is from RNAcentral.
AGGACGAACGCUGGCGGCGUGCUUAACACAUGCAAGUCGAGCGGUAAGGCCUUUCGGGGUACACGAGCGGCGAACGGGUGAGUAACACGUGGGUGAUCUGCCCUGCACUCCGGGAUAAGCCUGGGAAACUGGGUCUAAUACCGGAUAUGACCUGCUCUCGCAUGGGGGUGGGUGGAAAGAUUUUAUCGGUGCAGGAUGGGCCCGCGGCCUAUCAGCUUGUUGGUGGGGUAAUGGCCUACCAAGGCGACGACGGGUAGCCGACCUGAGAGGGUGACCGGCCACACUGGGACUGAGACACGGCCCAGACUCCUACGGGAGGCAGCAGUGGGAAUAUUGCACAAUGGGCGAAAGCCUGAUGCAGCGACGCCGCGUGAGGGAUGAAAGGCCUUCGGGUUGUAAACCGUCUUCAGCAGGACGAAGCGACAAGUGACGGUACCUGCAGAAGAAGCACCGGCUAACUACGUGCCAGCAGCCGC